GUCGAGAAUUUUGGGCAAUGGACGAAAGUCUGACCCAGCAAUGCCGCGUGCGGGAUGAAGGUCUUCGGAUUGUAAACCGCUGUCGAGGGGGACGAAAUAUGACGGUACCCCUGGAGGAAGCCACGGCUAACUACGUGCCAGCAGCCGCGGUAAUACGUAGGUGGCGAGCGUUGUUCGGAUUUAUUGGGCGUAAAGGGUCCGCAGGGGGUUGAUUAAGUCUGACGUGAAAUCUCUGAGCUCAACUCAGAAAUUGCGUUGGAGACUGGUUGACUAGGGUGUUGGAGAGGUAAUUGGAAUUCCAGGUGUAGCGGUGGAAUGCGUAGAUAUCUGGAAGAACAUCGAAAGCGAAGGCAGAUUACUGGACAACAACUGACCCUCAGGGACGAAAGCAUGGGGAGCAAACAGGAUUAGAUACCCUAGUAGUCC
Molecule: ribosomal RNA, 426 nt
Filed under: uncultured bacterium
Lineage: Bacteria
Description: partial 16S ribosomal RNA
Rfam family: Bacterial small subunit ribosomal RNA
Source: RNAcentral